AGUUGUGGUGGCCUAAUGGUUAGUGUGUUGGACUCUGGAUCAAGUGGUCCGGGUUCAAAUGUUGGCCGGGGUGAUUG
Molecule: non-coding RNA, 77 nt
Organism: Desmophyllum pertusum
Lineage: Eukaryota; Metazoa; Cnidaria; Anthozoa; Scleractinia; Caryophylliidae
Source: the annotation of a GenBank genome assembly